This 684-nucleotide small RNA is filed under the name Pongo abelii (Sumatran orangutan). Its description in RNAcentral is "retained intron". Lineage: Eukaryota; Metazoa; Chordata; Mammalia; Primates; Hominidae. The record is from RNAcentral.
CAAGAAUAAGAAUUCAAUUGUGGACCCCAAGGUGACAGUGGAGAUCCACGGCGUGAGCCGGGACGUGGCCAGCCGCCAGACUGCUGUCAUCACCAACAAUGGUAGGUGCCGGGCCCGGGCUGGGCUACUAGGGCUGGUGUUCAUGCUGUUGAUAUGGUGCCUGUCCCCCUAGGUUUCAACCCAUGGUGGGACGCGGAGUUUGCGUUUGAGGUAGUUGUGCCUGACCUUGCCCUCGUCCGCUUCUUGGUGGAAGAUUAUGAUGCCUCCUCCAAGAAUGACUUCAUUGGCCAGAGUACCAUCCCCUUGAACAGCCUCAAGCAAGGAUACCGCCAUGUCCACCUCAUGUCUAAGAACGGGGACCAGCAUCCAUCAGCUACCCUCUUCGUGAAGAUCUCCCUCCAGGACUAGGCUGGAGGAAGCCAGUGGGGUCCCCCCGAGUGGGCUGGGCCCUCUGUCCACAUGUGGGGACAGGGCUGGUGUGGCUGCUCCCAGCCUCUUGCUCAGAGCUAGGCCCCCAAACUGCCUUCAGCUCUAACAUAGUGUCUGCUGCUGCCUCCCCGGGGACCGGGAGCUAGCCCAGUCCCUGGAGCUGUCCUUCAUUCCGUUAGGAACAACACUGCAGCCCUCUCCACCCUCUGGCCAGCCGGUGGUCAAGGGUUUUUAUAAAAAUCACGAUAAGAUUAA